GCUGAUGUGAAGCUAUCUCGUUCGUGAGGGUUAAUAAACCAAAGGAUUUAUUUUCAGAAAUGUAUUUAUUGCAAGAAGACAGCAUAAUCGUACAAUCGAUGAGAAAUUGUCAGUUUUCUAUUGUGAAUUACGAUGAAAAAAAAAGAAAAGAAAAAAGAAGAAGAAGAAACUCACGACGAUAGCUGUGGAACGAUAAACUGUUCGAUCGGUGCCGACUGAGACUAAUUACUACUCUGAUUGUAACGUCUUCGGCCAUUAUCGUAAUUUAUAACGCGGGAUCAUUUGUUCGCGCGGUCCAUCAUUCGAUGCAGUAUGUGAAUGCACACCAUCGACAAAGAGAUAUCGAGUUAACAUUUUGUGCGAAAUGCGCGCGUAUUGGGUUUAAAUUAAUUAAAGAUUGCAGCGCCAAUGUGCGGUGAAAUGCGGAAUACACUUCCUGCGAUUCUCGAACGUAAUCGAUAUUUCUCACGAUCGAUCUUUAACUGGAAAUUGGCGGUUAAAAAUGGCGGAGAGUAGCAUACGUCACCUGUAAAGAAGGAAGU
Frieseomelitta varia is the source of this 542-nucleotide long non-coding RNA. RefSeq lists it as uncharacterized. The transcript is spliced from 3 exons. The record is from RefSeq and is a predicted model, not a curated record. Lineage: Eukaryota; Metazoa; Arthropoda; Insecta; Hymenoptera; Apidae.